GGAUUGUAAAUGGCACCUCGUUUACAUGAACUUGGGAUUGCUAGUAAUCGCUGGUCAGCCACACGGUGGUGAAUUCG
RNAcentral lists this ribosomal RNA (77 nucleotides) under Eutreptiella gymnastica. Its description in RNAcentral is "partial Bacterial small subunit ribosomal RNA". Lineage: Eukaryota; Euglenozoa; Euglenophyceae; Eutreptiales; Eutreptiaceae. The record is from RNAcentral.